RNAcentral lists this long non-coding RNA (360 nucleotides) under Bos taurus (domestic cattle). Its description in RNAcentral is "long non-coding RNA NONBTAT022483". Lineage: Eukaryota; Metazoa; Chordata; Mammalia; Artiodactyla; Bovidae. The record is from RNAcentral.
AAUUUCUAGGCAUGCUAGUCAUUUUAAAUUGGUUCUGAAUAGAAGAAGAGUUGUAGAAAAGAAUCUAUAUGUGGAAAGACAGAUGAUUUUUGAAACUUAAUUAUUUAAAAUGAACAAAAUAGAAUCCCAACCAAUGCACAUUUGCAAAACUCCUACACUGUACAUUUAUAAUGAGUUAUUACUUUAUUUAGUAUAUGCCUGGAUUUUCUUUCUUAUUUUUCAUGAUACUCUGAAACUACGAUUUUUUUGGUUUUCUUAGAAUAGGUUAAAGGCAGUGUGGGGUCUCUAAGUAAAUUCCCAUUUCAUAUUGUUAUUAUCUUAAUGGAUAUGGGGUUUUUAGAUGAAGGAAAACAAAUAGAA